This 443-nucleotide ribosomal RNA is filed under the name uncultured bacterium. RNAcentral's name for it is "partial 16S ribosomal RNA". It matches the Rfam family "Bacterial small subunit ribosomal RNA", at positions 338 to 795 of the family's 1533-position model. The record is from RNAcentral.
CCUACGGGUGGCAGCAGUGGGGAAUAUUGGGCAAUGGACGAGAGCCUGAACCAGCAACGUCGCGUGAGUGAUGACGGUCUUAUGAUUGGAAAGUUCUUUUCUAAGGGGAGAAGAGAGGGACGGUACCUUAGGAAUAAGCCUCGGCGAACUAAGUGCCCGCAGCCGCGGGAAGACGUAGGAGGCGAGCGUUAUACGGAAUGACUGGUCGUAAAGGUGGCGUAGGUGGGUUGGCAAGUUAGUAGCGUAACUCGCAGGCUCAAACUUGGUACUACUACUAAAACUGUUGGACUUGAGUGGAGGAGGGGCAACCGGAAUGCGUAGUGUAGCGGUGGAAUGCGUAGAUAUCAGGAGGAACACCAGUUGCGAAGGCAGGUUGCUGGCCUGUAACUGACGCUGAGGCACGAAAGCGUGGGGAGCAAACAGGAUUAGAUACCCCUGUAGUC